GACGAACGCUGGCGGCGUGCUUAACACAUGCAAGUCGAACGGAAAGGCCCUGCUUUUGUGGGGUGCUCGAGUGGCGAACGGGUGAGUAACACGUGAGUAACCUGCCCUUGACUUUGGGAUAACUUCAGGAAACUGGGGCUAAUACCGGAUAGGAGCUCCUGCUGCAUGGUGGGGGUUGGAAAUUUUCGGCGGUUGGGGAUGGACUCGCGGCUUAUCAGCUUGUUGGUGGGGUAGUGGCUUACCAAGGAUUUGACGGGUAGCCGGCCUGAGAGGGUGACCGGCCACAUUGAGACUGAGCUACGGCCCAGACUCCUACGGGAGGCAGCAGUGGGGAAUAUUGCACAAUGGGCGGAAGCCUGAUGCAGCAACUCCGCGUGCGGGAUGACUGUCUUCGGGUUGUAAACCGCUUUCGCCUGUGACGAAGCUUGGCUGACGGUAAUGGGUAAAGAAGCACCGGCUAACUACGUG
Molecule: ribosomal RNA, 468 nt
Filed under: uncultured bacterium
Lineage: Bacteria
Description: partial 16S ribosomal RNA
Rfam family: Bacterial small subunit ribosomal RNA
Source: RNAcentral